GAUGAACGCUGGCGGCGUGCCUAAUACAUGCAAGUCGAGCGAACAGACGAGGAGCUUGCUCCUCUGACGUUAGCGGCGGACGGGUGAGUAACACGUGGAUAACCUACCUAUAAGACUGGGAUAACUUCGGGAAACCGGAGCUAAUACCGGAUAAUAUAUUGAACCGCAUGGUUCAAUAGUGAAAGACGGUUUUGCUGUCACUUAUAGAUGGAUCCGCGCCGCAUUAGCUAGUUGGUAAGGUAACGGCUUACCAAGGCAACGAUGCGUAGCCGACCUGAGAGGGUGAUCGGCCACACUGGAACUGGGACACGGUCCAGACUCCUACGGGAGGCAGCAGUAGGGAAUCUUCCGCAAUGGGCGGAAGCCUGACGGAGCAACGCCGCGUGAGUGAUGAAGGUCUUCGGAUCGUAAAACUCUGUUAUUAGGGAAGAACAAAUGUGUAAGUAACUAUGCACGUCUUGACGGUACCUAAUCAGAAAGCAACGGCUAACUACGUG
This 497-nucleotide ribosomal RNA is filed under the name uncultured bacterium. RNAcentral describes it as "partial 16S ribosomal RNA". It matches the Rfam family "Bacterial small subunit ribosomal RNA", at positions 28 to 507 of the family's 1533-position model. The record is from RNAcentral.